This 553-nucleotide unclassified non-coding RNA is filed under the name Trichosanthes pilosa. RNAcentral's name for it is "sequence contains ITS1, 5.8S rRNA gene, ITS2". Lineage: Eukaryota; Viridiplantae; Streptophyta; Magnoliopsida; Cucurbitales; Cucurbitaceae. The record is from RNAcentral.
AGCGGGUAAUCCCGCCUGACCUGGGGUCGCGUCGAGAGCAUCGUCUUUGUGGACGACGUUCAGAGGGUCGACAUGGGAGUCCUCGCUUGCUCGCUCGCUCGCUGGGAGGAGGUGCGCGGGCUGAGGUCGCGACGCGGUACCGAGGUUGGAUCAACCACCGUAGUGUCGCGACGCCGGCGCCGGGGACUCGAAUUUAAGCCAUCCGCGCGACGGUGCGCACGGGAGGCCAGCGUGUGCCCCCGCCUGCGCAACGAACCCGAGUGGGGGUUGCGUGGGGGGGUUCCCCCCCCCGCGCGCCGAGACCGGGGCAAGGGGCGGGGGAAUUCGUUUUAGUUCCUUGGCGGGACCUGCGCCGGGGUUUGGUUUAGGCACCGAGGAGGGGCACGAGUGCUCCCCCCCGGCACGGAAGGUUUGUAAACGCGUUCGCGGGUCGUUUGAUGUUUAGGCAUCGACAAUGAUCCUUCCGCAGGUUCACCUACGGAAACCUUGUUACGACUUCUCCUUCCUCUAAAUGAUAAGGUUCAGUGGACUUCUCGCGACGUCGCGGGCAGCG